RNAcentral lists this ribosomal RNA (471 nucleotides) under Triticum aestivum (bread wheat). RNAcentral's name for it is "partial small subunit ribosomal RNA". The record is from RNAcentral. Lineage: Eukaryota; Viridiplantae; Streptophyta; Magnoliopsida; Poales; Poaceae.
AUGGCCCCGAAGUUUCAUGGUAUGCAACCGAAGGGGAAUAAGUAUUAUGCGACCAUUAGGAAGGACAUUGUCAUCCAUGAGCUUGGCCACUGGGACACCCCGGAGUUAGCGGUGCACGUCUAUAAUGCCAUGGCGGUAGAGUUCUAUCAGGAAGGGACAAUUAUGAACUUCCCUGAGUGUCAUGAGUACGCGAAGUUCCUCGCACCGGAGGGCAUGAGGAUAUGCACUAGGGCUGAGGAGAAGGAGAACAAACAAACCGAGAUGCAGUUCUUCGACUCAUUGGUGAGCGAGCUUGCGAGAGAUGAGAAACUCGUAGAGACCAACAAGAUGAUGCUACUUCAAUAUACAGCUAGGAAGAGCGUGGAGGAGGAUCCCAUAGAUUGGGAUGCCUUGGAGCGUCAGGAGGAGGGUCAUCAGGGGUGUCGUAGGUCCACCAGGGACGACCACGAGGCCGGUCCCUCCGGCCACUAG